GACGAACGCUGGCGGCGUGCUUAACACAUGCAAGUCGAACGGAAAGGCCCCUUUGGGGGUACUCGCUUGGCGAACGGACGAGUAACACGUGAGUAACCUGCCCUUGCCUUCGGGAUAACUAACGGCAACUGGGGCUAAUACAGGCUAGGUAUCCUUUCUGCAUGGUGGGGGGUGGAAAGCAUCGGCGGGUUUGGGUGGACUCGCGGCUUGUCUGCUUGUUGGUGGGGUAGUGGGUUACCAAGGCUUUGACGGGUAGCCGGCCUGGGAGGGCGAGCGGCCAAAAUGGGACUGGGAAACGGCCCAGACUCCUAAGGGGGGCAGCAGUGGGGAAUAUUGCACAAAGGGCGGGAGGCUGAUGGAGCAACGGCGCGGGCGGGAAGACCGCCUUCGGGUUGGAAACCGCUUUCAGCAGGUGAGAAGCUUGUGGUGACGGUACCUGCAGAAGAAGCACCGGCUAACUACGUG
RNAcentral lists this ribosomal RNA (465 nucleotides) under uncultured bacterium. Its description in RNAcentral is "partial 16S ribosomal RNA". It matches the Rfam family "Bacterial small subunit ribosomal RNA", at positions 28 to 507 of the family's 1533-position model. The record is from RNAcentral.